Small nucleolar RNA from Prolemur simus (greater bamboo lemur), 195 nucleotides. The record is from Ensembl. NCBI's taxonomy places the organism in Eukaryota, Metazoa, Chordata, Mammalia, Primates, Lemuridae.
AGCUCAUCUUAGCUGCCAACUUGGGAAACUGAUGCUCUCAAAACCGAGAUGUCCCAUUUGCCGUAAGGGCAGACCAACAAGUUUUUCUAUUUUUGAGCUACCUACCUCUUUUUAAUAGGGGUGACUCCUCCAAUUGCCAGGGAGAAAUUGUGGCAGCUGGAGUGAGAGCGUAGGAACAGCAAAGCAAAGCAAAGA